AUGUUAAAGAUGGGAGUGAUUGGAGUAUAUGUAAACGAAAUGGGAAGGAGUCCAUGGAGAAACAGUGGUUGGAUACACAAGAAAAUGGACUGUGUUUUUAAAAAAUUAAUUAAUUAUUAUUAUUUAUUUUUAGAGAGAGCAGUUGUGCACAGGAAUGGGGUGGGGGAUUGGGGAGCAAAGGGAGAAGGAGAGAGAAUCCCAGACAGGCUCCACACCCAGUGUGGAACCCAACACAGGGCUCGAUCCCACCAUCCUGAGGUUGUGACCUGAGCUGAAAUCAAGAGUCAGAUGCUUAAUUAGCUGAGCCACCCAGGUGCCCCUCUGUGUUUUCUGAGAAUAAGUGUUUCCAAAGUAAGCCCUAGGAUUGUCCCAAGGAGGAAGAUAGUUUUCCUAAUAAGGUAGGAAGGAAGAAAUACUGAAAACCUUUAGUGUCUUUCCUGUACAACUAGGAUAAAAUAAGGACUCCUUUUCGAGGCCCUGGAAGCACUGGGUAAUUCUUCUGCUUAUCUGUCAGGCCAUAACUACAAGCCACCCCCAUCCUGCAUAUGUUUGUGUUCUAGCUACAGUGGCUUUUAUUCAGAUUCUCUAACCUGGUGGUUUCCAGACAUUUUCUUAAAAACAGGCUUUAUCUUUUUAGAGCAGUUUCAGAUUCAUAGCAGAAUUGAGCAGAAGUAGGGAGUUCCCAUAAACCGCCCGUCACACAUGCAUAGCUGCUUCUGCUGUCAACAUCCUGCACCAAAGUGGCACAUUUGUUUCAGGCAGUGACCCUGCGCCAACAGCUCAUCCCACCCAAAGCUCAGAGUUGACAUUAGGAUCAGUCUUGGUGUUGUACGUUCUGUAGAUUUUGACAAACGUACAACAACAUGUAUUUACCAUUAUAGCAUCAACUGGAAAAGCGCCAUUGCCCUGGAAGUCCUCUGUGUGCUGCCUGUUCUUCCUUCCCCUCCUACUGAUCCCUAGCAACCAGUGAUCUUUUUGCCGUCUCUAAUUCUGCCUUUUGCAGAAUGUCGUUUAGUUGGCAUCACACAGUAUGUAGUCUUCCCACUUGGGCCUCUUUUGCUUGGUAAUAUGUGUUUAUGGUUCCUCCAUGUUUUUCUGUGGCCUGAUAGCUGAUUUCUUUUUAGCACCAAAUAAUAUUUCAUUGCAUGCACCACAGUUUGAUUAUCUACUCACUUACUGAAGGAUGUCUUGAUUGCUUCCAAAUUUUGGCAAUUAUGAAUAAAGCUGCUGUACACAUCCAUGUGCAGAUAAAAUUUUUAGCUCAUUUGGGUA
Molecule: long non-coding RNA, 1272 nt
Filed under: Mustela putorius furo (domestic ferret)
Lineage: Eukaryota; Metazoa; Chordata; Mammalia; Carnivora; Mustelidae
Description: lncRNA (ENSMPUG00000027140.1)
Source: RNAcentral